ACAACAUCUUGAGGAGCCUGUGUGGAAGAGGUCUGGGAAGUAUUUCCCACAGCCACACAGGAAGCAGCUGGCCAGGAUUCUGGUGGCCUUGCAUCCUCAGAAACCCAGAAGAAGCAGACUAGCAAGAGGUUCUUCAGGCCCAGGGCCAUGGAUGGUUCUCUUCUUUCCCAACAAAGCAUAUUGCAAUAUUUCUAGGACAUCUGCUGGACCAAGCUAUGCUGCAUGGAACUGUCAAGACAGAAUUUCUGAGACACGCCAUGCUUCCAGACCCAAACCAAAAAGUGAAUAUGCAGCACCACGGAAAAACUACUCUCUGAAUUAAGCUGAGAUAAUUACAGUAUGGUGGGAAGACAGAGCCACGCAGACCUGCUCAGAUGCUUGCUGCACCCAGGGCUGCACUUCCACCUGCAGGUCCUUCUGAGAGAGAUGGAGACUUCGGACAGAACAAAGAAGUUGCUGGCUGCUCACGUUGUGCUCUUUUUGGAGGCUAAUCCACAGGGCACCUUCCCUGGUACUGGUUAGGAACGAAUCACUGGGAUUGCUCUGGGCUCUUGUCCUAGUUUGUUUUGCUGAAUCUUUUCCCAACCCUUUUGUGGGCCAAAAAACCAAAUAUCAGGGUAUGAAACAGGACAAUGCCAAAGGGAGGAUAAAGGGCAAGCUAAGGGAUCAAGAGUCCCAGGGGUGUGGUUUCUCACCUGUCACCAAAAUCUGUGCAAAAGUCAGCAAAGAGCACAAGGACACGAAGGGCCACAAUGUGUCCUGCCAGGCAGACUGCAAAGGGGGACACAGGCUUCCAGUGCUCAGCAUGUGGCUCCAGCCACCUUUGGCUUCCAACUGCUGCAUCUGCAGCUCUGAAUUGCCACCUGAUGCUGGUGACAGAGCCUGUAGCAGCCCAGAGUCCUGGAGUGUCAGAAGCUUGCCCAGGAGCCCUUAGCCAGUGACUGGAGCACUGACUGCUGACAGUGGUCUACAUUAGCCCCAGGGUGCCUCAUUAGGCUCAAGCUCCAGAUAACCCCUGCAGGGUUUUGCUUGAGAAAGGAUCCUUUAUUGGCUAUGGCUUUGCCUGUGGCACUCCCUUGUUCUCUUGCUGGGCUUUUCUGGAAAUCCCCUCCUAAACAAGCUGUUUGCAGACUCUCAACUUAAGGUCUGUGUUAAAGGGACACACACACACACACACACACACACACACACACACACACACACGAGGACAGUAUGCUGCUAACCUGGAGUUUGCUUCUGUCUGGCUGGGCCGCAUUCACAGGCAGAUGGACGCACACAAACCUGCAACUCAUAACACACAUCAGGUAUCAUGGUUGCCACCCACUGGGCACGCAGGAAACUUAAUUUCUUUGAGUUUCAUUUUGAGAUUGGUUGACCUGAUUUCUCAUAACCAAAGCAAGCAUUCACUCUAGAUGGCUAGGAAUCUGUGUUGAUUUGUGUAAUCUCAUUUGGAUUGGGCCUCUCUUUUCAACACAUUUUUAUAUCUUGCAUUUCAGUUUCUACUAGCGCACAGUUCCUUGCUGCUGCAUUUAAAGAUAGCAUAUUUUAGAGCUCACACAGAUAAGUUGAAUUGGGAUAGAAUCUUUACUUAAAUCCCUACUUUUUAAGAAUUUCUUGCAUUUACCAUCAGAACUCCUGCAGUUCUACUUAAGAGAAUCCAGGUAAUGUAAAACUCUGAAUAAUAUUUAUUAACGCUUUUUCUUUAAUGGCUAAGAAGAAAACCUCAUUGCAAUACCCAAGGGUUCAAUUUCUUUAAUGAUUUCCUUUUUUAAAAUUUGAUUUUAUUGUAUAUAUUUAAGUUGUAUAUAACAUGUUUUGUUUUUUUGUUUGUUUGCUUAUUUGUUUUGAGACAGGUUCUCACUAUGUUGUCCAGUCGGAGACUGGGUCUUGCUAUGUUGCCCAGCCAGGCCUCAAACUCUUGAUUUUCCUGUCUCAGCCUCCCAAGUAGCUGGGAUUAUAGAACAUGCUAUUGCAUCUGGCCUCAACAUGGUGUCUUGACACACAUAAAAUUUGUGAAACUAUUUCUAUAAUCAAUCAGUUUAAUUUUCAUCUCCUUACAUAGUUGCUGUUGUGUUUGUGUAGUUAAGAGCACCUGACAGCUACUCUUGGGGCAACUUCCAGUAUACAGUCCAGCAUUCCUGACUAUACUCAUCAUACUGUGCACUGGAGCUCUGGCCUCGCUUGCGCUGGGAGCUGCAGCACUGUACACUUUGGCCAAUAUCUCCCCUCUCUUCCUUUCUUACCCCACUGCUCUGCCCUCUGCUUCUAGGUAUUUGACGUUUUAAAAUCUACAUACAGUUGGGAUCACAUAACACUUUUCUUCUGUGUCUGAUUGAUUUCACUUGGCAUGUCUUCCAUUUCGUCUACAUUGUCACACAGCAGAGUCACCUUCUUCUUAAAGGCUGAGUGAUACUUUAUCAUAGCUAUUGUCCCAGAGUCAUAUAUUGUAUAAUUAAUAUGUAAUAUAUUUUAUAUAAUAAUUAUAAUAGAUUAUUAUAUAUUGGGUGUAUGCUCAUAUGUAUCCUGGAAUUUCUUAUCCAUUUGUCCAUCAGUGAACACUUACAUUAUAUCCAUAUCUUGGCUGUUGUGAAUAAUGCUGCAGUGAGUAGGAGUGCAGAUAUCUCUUAGCUGUGCAAAUUUCAUUUCCUUGGGGGUUUCUGAAUCAUGUGGUAGCUCUAGUGUAAUGAUUUCUGAGGAAGCUCCAUGGUGUUUUCCAUAAUGGCAAUAUCAAUUACACUCCCACCAACAGUGUACAAGUUUCCCCUUUCUUUCCAUGCUUCUGUAAUCUCUUGUUUUUUUGAUAAUAGCUGUCCUUACUGGUGUGAAGUGGUAUUUCAUCCUGGUUGUGAUUUGCAUUUCCUUGAUGUUUGAUGAUGUUAGGCACCUUUUUAUAUACCUUUUAGCUAUUUUCAUAUCUUCUUUGGAGAAAUAGCUGUUUUGAUUCCUUGCUUAUUUUUAACCAGGUUAUUUUCAUGUUACUGAGUUGUAUGACUUCUUUAUAUAUUUUGGACAUUGAACUCUUAUCAGACACAUGAUUCAUGAAUACUUUCUCCUAACCCAUAGCCU
Molecule: long non-coding RNA, 3066 nt
Filed under: Heterocephalus glaber (naked mole-rat)
Lineage: Eukaryota; Metazoa; Chordata; Mammalia; Rodentia; Bathyergidae
Description: lncRNA (ENSHGLG00000043967.1)
Source: RNAcentral